CUAGUAGCGGCGAGCGAAGCGGGAAGAGCUCAAAUUUAUAAUCUGGCACCUUCGGUGUCCGAGUUGUAAUCUCUAGAAAUGUUUUCCGCGUUGGACCGCACACAAGUCUGUUGGAAUACAGCGGCAUAGUGGUGAGACCCCCGUAUAUGGUGCGGACGCCCAGCGCUUUGUGAUACAUUUUCGAAGAGUCGAGUUGUUUGGGAAUGCAGCUCAAAUUGGGUGGUAAAUUCCAUCUAAAGCUAAAUAUUGGCGAGAGACCGAUAGCGAACAAGUACCGUGAGGGAAAGAUGAAAAGCACUUUGGAAAGAGAGUUAACAGUACGUGAAAUUGUUGGAAGGGAAACGCUUGAAGUCAGACUUGCUUGCCGAGCAAUCGGUUUGCAGGCCAGCAUCAGUUUUCCGGGAUGGAUAAUGGUAGAGAGAAGGUAGCAGUUUCGGCUGUGUUAUAGCUCUCUGCUGGAUACAUCUUGGGGGACUGAGGAACGCAGUGUGCCUUUGGCGGGGGUUUCGACCUCUUCACACUUAGGAUGC
This 530-nucleotide ribosomal RNA is filed under the name Rhodotorula mucilaginosa. RNAcentral's name for it is "eukaryotic LSU rRNA". It matches the Rfam family "Eukaryotic large subunit ribosomal RNA", at positions 80 to 626 of the family's 3401-position model. Lineage: Eukaryota; Fungi; Basidiomycota; Microbotryomycetes; Sporidiobolales; Sporidiobolaceae. The record is from RNAcentral.